UGAGUAGGCGGUAAUAUGUGUCAGAUGUAAAAGGCUAUGGCUUAACCAUAGUUGGCAUUUGAAACUGUAUUACUUGAGUGCAGGAGAGGUAAGUGGAAUUCCUAGUGUAGCGGUGAAAUGCGUAGAUAUUAGGAGGAACACCAGUGGCGAAGGCGACUUACUGGACUGUAGCUGACGCUGAGUCACGAAAGCGUGGGUAGCAAACAG
This 207-nucleotide ribosomal RNA is filed under the name uncultured Sedimentibacter sp. Its description in RNAcentral is "partial 16S ribosomal RNA". It matches the Rfam family "Bacterial small subunit ribosomal RNA", at positions 568 to 775 of the family's 1533-position model. Lineage: Bacteria; Bacillati; Bacillota; Tissierellia. The record is from RNAcentral.